UUUUUUCUUGGUUAAUCUUGCUAAUGGUCUAUCGAUUUUAUUUUUCUUUUCAAAGAACCAGCUUUUUGUUUCAUUUAUCUUUUGCAUUUUUUUGUUGUGGUUUCAAUUUCAUUUAGUUCUGCUCUGAUCUUGGUUAUUUCCUUUCUUCUGCUGGGUUUGGGUUUGGUUUGUUCUUGUUUCUCUAGUUCCUUGAAGUGUGACCUUAGAAUGUCAGUUUGUGCUUUUUCAGUCUUUUUGAUGUAGGCAUUUAGGGCUAUGAACUUUGCUCUUAGAACUGCCUUUGCUGUAUCCCAGAGGUUAUGAUUGGUUGUGUCACCAUCAUCAUUCAGUUCAAAGAACAUUUUAAUUUCUAUCUUGAUUUUGCUUUUGACCCAGUGAUCAUUCAGGAGCAGGUUAUUAAUUUCCAUGCAUUUGCAUGGUUUUGAUGGUUCCUUUUGGAGUUGAUUUCCAGUUUUAUUCCACUGCGGUCUGACAGAGUGCUUGAUAUCAUUUCAAUUUUCUUAAAUUUAUUGAGGCUCGUUUUGUGACCUAUCAUAUAGUCUAUCCUGGAGAAUGUUCCAUGCACUGUUGAAUAGAUUGUGUAUUCUGCGGUUGUUGGAUGGAAUGUUCUACAUAUAUCCUUUAAGUCCAUUUGUUCCAAGGUAUAGUUUAAAUCCAUUGUUUCUUUGUUGACUUUCUGAAUUGAUGACCUGUCUAGUGCUGUCAGUGGAGCAUUGAAGUCCCCCACUAUUAUUGUGUUGCUGUCUAUCUCAUUUCUUAGAUCUAUUAGUAAUUGUUUCAUAAAUUUGGGAACUCCAGUGUUAGGUGCAUAUAUGUUUAGGACUGUGAUAUUUUCCUGUUGGUCAAGGCCUUUUACCAUUAUAUAAUGUCCCUCUUUAUCUUUUUUAACUGCUGUUGCUUUAAAGUUUGCUUUGUCUGAUGUAAGAAUAACUACUCCUGCUUGCUUUUGGUGUCCAUUUGCAUGAAAUGCCUUUUUCCACCCCUUACCUUUAAGUUUAUGUGAGUCCUUACGUGUUAGGUGAGUCUCUUGAAGGCAGCAGAUAGUACGUUGAAUUCUUAUCCAUUCUGCAGUUCUGUGUCUUUUAAGUGCAGCAUUUAGGCUGUUUACAUUGAAUGUUAGUACUGAGAUGUGAGGUACCAUUCCAUCCAUUGUGCUAUCUGUUGCCUGCAUACCUUGGUUUUCUGUUUUUGUUGUUGCUUUUCAAAUUGUAUUUUUCUUUUAGGUCCUGUGACAUUUAUGAUUUAAAGAAGUUCAUUUUGAUGUUUUUCCAGGAUUUCUUUCAAGAUUUGGAGUUCCUUUUAGCAGUUCUCAUAGUGGUGGCUUGGCAGUGGUGAAUUCUCUCAGUAUUUGUUUGUCUGAAAAAGACCAUGUCUUUCCUUAUAGAUGAUGCUUAGUUUCACUGGAUACAAAAUUCUUAGCUGAUAAUUGUUUUGUUUGAAAAGGCUGAAGAUAGGGCCCUAAUCUCUUCUAGAUUGUAGGGUUUCUGCUGAGAAAUCUGCUGUUAAUCUGAUAGGUUUUCCUUUAUAGGUUACUCGGUGCUUUCGUCUCACAGUUCUUAAGAUUCUUUCUUUCAUCUUAACUUUAGCUAUCCUGAUGACAAUGUGCCUAGGUGAUGAUCUUUUUGUGAUGAAUUUCCCAGGUGUUCUUUGUGCUUCUUCUAUUUGGAUGUCUAGGUCUCUAGCAAGGACAGGCAAGUUUUCCUUGAUUAUUCCCCCAAAUAUGUUUUCCAAACUUUUAGAUUUCUCUUCUUCCUCGGGAAUGCUGAUUAUCCUUAGGUUUGGUCAUUUAACAUAAUCCCAGACUUCUUGGAGACUUUGUUCAUAUUUUCUUAUUCUUUUUUCUUGUAGUUCCUCAGGCUGUACGAGAAGCAUAGCAGCUUAUGCUCAGCUUCUGGGGAGGCCUCAGGAAACUUACAAUCAUGAUGAAAGGCAAAGGGAAAGCAGGCACGUCCUCACACAGCCAGAGCAGGAGGAAGGGAGGGUAAGUAGGAGGUGCUGCACACUUUUAAACAACCAGGUCUCAUAAGAACUCUAUCACAAGAAUAGCAUCAAAGGGAUGGUGCUAAACCAUUCACGAAGGAUCCACUCCCAUAAUCCAAUCACCUCCCACCAGGCCCAUUCUAACACUGGAGAUUACAAUUCAACAUGAGAUUUGGGUAGGGACACAAAUCCAAACCAUAUCACUAUUUCCACAGGAGUUAAAGUAUCUAGUUGACUAGCAACACUACAUGGAGGUAAUAUUAAAUAAUUCCCAGCUGUAUUUUGAGCCUUAGGCUGUAUUUCUCUAUUUACAGUUGAGGGCCUAAUAAGAAUUGUACUAGUUAACUCAUCACUAGACAUCGUUCUUUGCAGCACAUAUUAUGUUGUAGCACAUUUCUACUAUGUUCUAUCAACAGGAGAAGUUUUCAUGAUGACAGGAGGGUUUGUUGUCUGAUUCUCACAAUUUUUAGGUUACACACUCAACUUAAUCUGAGACAAAAUUCAUUUUACAAUUAUAUUUGUGGGCAUAAACCUGACUUUCUGCAACAUUUCCUUGGUUUAUCAGGCAUACCAUAACAAUACUCUAAUUAUCCUGAUGCACAUACAACAUGAAAAAUCAUCUUAUCAAUAGGCUCCUCUAUUUCACUAACAAAAUAUUAAUAAUUCUCAUAAUUUGAGAAGACUUUACUUCAAAAUGAGAAGCCUCAGUAGUGGUGCUUUCAUUACAGACUUUGAAUGACCUUAUGGCUGCCCACCCCCAUAUCAUGCAUUUGAAGAGCCUGCUUAUGUAAAAGCUUAAGAAAGGAAGGAAUCAAAAUCACAUAAACAAUUUCAAGCC
This is a long non-coding RNA of Macaca fascicularis (crab-eating macaque), 2818 nucleotides long. NCBI's taxonomy places the organism in Eukaryota, Metazoa, Chordata, Mammalia, Primates, Cercopithecidae. The record is from Ensembl.